UUAAAUCCAAAUCUUGCUUUUCUGGUGUGU
RNAcentral lists this non-coding RNA (30 nucleotides) under Rattus norvegicus (Norway rat). Lineage: Eukaryota; Metazoa; Chordata; Mammalia; Rodentia; Muridae. The record is from RNAcentral.